CCCCUUCAAAAAGCACUUGCUUUGUCUGGUCAGUAGCUCGGUGAGUUGUCGAAGAAGGGUAUAGUAAGAUCAUCACUGUGGGUGAGAUGGCAGUCUCAUUUUGGCUGACCAAUCUCAAUCAGUGAUGGAACAUUU
Small nucleolar RNA from Hucho hucho (huchen), 135 nucleotides. Lineage: Eukaryota; Metazoa; Chordata; Actinopteri; Salmoniformes; Salmonidae. The record is from Ensembl.